RNAcentral lists this long non-coding RNA (225 nucleotides) under Gossypium barbadense (sea-island cotton). RNAcentral describes it as "long non-coding RNA (GBAR_LNC001333)". The record is from RNAcentral. Lineage: Eukaryota; Viridiplantae; Streptophyta; Magnoliopsida; Malvales; Malvaceae.
ACACUAUGACAUCAUGUGAAAGCACGUUAGAAUGGCUAAAUAGGACCAAGAAUGUAAUACCCCUAACCCAUUUUCGUCGUCGAAACAAUGUUUUAGAGCAUUACUAGAGUUUGCAGAACAUAUACAAUUAAUUUAUUUUAUUUACUAUUCAUAUUCGAAACCAAUCAUAUUUUCCCUUAAAUGAACCAUCGAGGUCCAAUUUACACAUUUGAAACAAGUCGGGAC